Molecule: ribosomal RNA, 253 nt
Filed under: uncultured bacterium
Lineage: Bacteria
Description: partial 16S ribosomal RNA
Rfam family: Bacterial small subunit ribosomal RNA
Source: RNAcentral
UACGUAGGGUGCGAGCGUUAAUCGGAAUUACUGGGCGUAAAGCGUGCGCAGGCGGUUUUGUAAGCCAGAUGUGAAAGCCCCGGGCUCAACCUGGGAAUGGCAUUUGGGACUGCAAGGCUUGAGUGCGGCAGAGGAGACUGGAAUUCCUGGUGUAGCAGUGAAACGCGUAGAUAUCAGGAGGAAUACCGAUGGCGAAGGCAGGUCUCUGGGCUGACACUGACGCUCAUGCACGAAAGCGUGGGGAGCAAACAGG